UUUUUUAUUUUUAUUUUUUGUCUUUUGAGGGUCACACCUGCAUCAUAUGGGGGUUCCCAGGCUAGAGGUCAAUUUGGAGCUGUAGCUGCCAGCCUGAGCCACAGCCACAGCAACGGGGGAUCCAAGCCAAGUCUGCGACCUACACCACAGCUCAAGGCAACGCCAUAUCCUUAAUCUACUGAGCAAGGCCAGGGAUGGAACCUGCUUCCUCAUGGAUACUGGUCAGGUUCGUUUCCGCUGAGCCAUGGCAGGAACUCCCAUAGUUGAUUUAUAAUGUGCUUCAUGUACAUGGCAAAAUAAUUCAAGUAUAUGCCUCUCUCUCUCCCUUUCUCUCUCUCUCCCUCUCUCUCUCUCUGUACACACACACACACACACACACACACACACACAUUCUUUUUCAGAUUCUUUUCCCUUAUAGGCUAUUGCAGAAUAUUGAGUAUAGUUCCCAUGCUAUACAGUAAGUCCUUGUUGAUUAUCUAUUUUUUAAUUUUUAAAUUUUAAUUUUUGGUCAUACCCUCAGCAUGCAGAACUUCCUGGGCCAGGGGACUGAACCUGUGCCAUGGCUGCAACACCAGAUCCUUAACCUGCUGAGCCACCAGAAACUCUGGAUAUGUAUUUUAUAUAUAGUAGUGUGUAAAUGUUAGCCCCAAACUCCUGAUUCUUCAAUUAUUUUAAAUACAUGAUCAUAUUUUCUGUGAAAGAAAUACAGUUUUGCUCUUUUCUUUCCCUUAGAUUUGCCUUGUAUUUUUAUCUCUUGCCUUAUUUAUACUAGCUACAGUCUCCAGUACAAUUUUGAAUAGAUGUGGUCAGAGACAACACCAUUGCCUUGUUCCAGACCUUAGAAGGAAAGUGUUGGAUGUUUCAUAUUUAAACAACAUUAGCCAUAAGUUUUUCAUAGAUGUGCUAUACCUAAUUAGCUCCCAAAGCCCCAUCUUCAAUACCAUCAUGUUGGGAGACUGAGCUUCAGUAUAUGAAUUUUUGAGUAACAUAAUUCAGUCCAUAGAAGUUUGUUUGUUUAGCUUUAUCCCUGCUCCACAAAUUCCAACUGCCUUAGUCUCUUCAAGCUCUUUUAUUUUCCCUCUUCAUAUCAGUGAGGCCACGAUGCUCUGCAGGGUUCCCCUCCCUGUGCCAUAUUCUAGUAUCAAACAGGACAAUUGUAUAUGAAUCACAGUCCUGUACUUCCUAUUGUGUACUGUCUGAAAACAGUCAUUUCUUGCAUUUUUGUUCAGUUUUUAUAGUGUUUAUAGCAAGAGUUCACAUCAAGUUAUUUUAACUGGACAGGAACGAGAAGCUAAAACUAUGGAUUUUUGAAAGGAGGGAGUCAAACUGGUGGAGCCAAUGCCUUUGAGGAAUGGUGUAACAAAAUUUGGAUAGUGUAGAAAUCAUACAAAAGGAUGUGUGAGUUCCUGAUUUUGGAUAUGCAACAGUUAUUAGUGGUGACACAGUGUCGCAGUGUGAGAGGCUGACUUCCUCUUCAUCUUUCUUUGGCAGCCAAAUGGUAAGAAAAUGGAAAAAAAAAGACACCAGACAGCUAAUCCAUACUACUGUCCAUACUCACUUAUAUAUUCACUUACUAAGCAGUAUGGACAUUCAUCUAUUCGUUCCGGCACUAAACAUUCUCUGGAUAUCACUCAGUGUUAAGAUAAAAAUGUAUAGAAUUAUAAAGUUUGCCCUGUGGCUAGGAUGAGAUCCUAGGCAGCAAAUUAAUCUUGGGAGAAGACAUCAAAGCUGAAUAGAAUAGAACUUUGUGAGUGGAAGUAAGAUCUCCCAGUUUGGGUAGUUGAUAAUUUUUAACAGAAACAUUCUAGAUACAAACACUUUACCAUAUUUAUAAAGUUUUAUAUCCUUAGACAGCCAUCAGAUUACAUCCUAUUGAAGGAAAUAAAUCAGUCCAUCCGUCUAGUUCUCUGUCAAUGCCUCAUAAAAUAGCUGGUUUAUGUGUCAGACAUAAGAAAAGACAUAAGUCCAUGGAGUAUUUUCCUUUCCAAAAUGUUCCAGAAAAUUACAAGUUAUAUCUUUGGAAUUGCCUUCCGUAUUAUCAAAGAAUCCCAGUUACCCAAGCAUAAGCCAGAAAGGUGAUAUAGCUUAGUGAGUCAGACAGAACGGAUUCCAACCCUGGCUCUCUGUAUCUGAGUAGUUCUGUGACCGUUUGCAAGUUGCUAACUAGGGAAAAGAAAUAAGAUUCAGAUUCAAGAUAUAUGGAGGGAAAAUGGACAGGAAUAGUGGUUGACUGGCUAUAUAUAGAGUCAAACAUGAUUCGUUGUUUCCAAGCUUGAAGAGCUUGAGAAUAGUUGUACUAUAGAUAGAAACAGGAGAAGGAGAUCUUAAGGAAGGUGAGUAACUUCGAUUUGAGAAAUGCAGAAAGAAUAUGUGCUCUAGACAGAACUCAAUGUUGGGCUUCUAGGUGGAGCCCUCUAGCCAAAAGUAAAUGGUUUGACAUUAGUACUGGAGCUCAAAAGGGAAUCUAGUCAUUCAUACAUUUUAUUCAACCAAUAAUAGUCAAAUACUUAUUUUUUCACAGUCAUUGUGCUAGUUACUGGAGAUUCAGAAAUAAAAGACAGUGACUGCCCUCACAGAGCUCACCUCAGUGGAGCUAGAGAAUUUAUAGGACAGUUAGACUAUACAACCCUAAGUGUCCAGUUCUUUGGGCUAAGAUUGAGGCAAGGACACAGUGUGAUGGAAACAAUAGGUGAAGAAUAAUAAUAGGCUUUUAGAGGAACUGAACUAAAUCUUGAAGGAAGAGUAGGAGUUUGUCAGACAGAAAAGCUGCAGAGGGCCUUGUAAGCAGGGGGACAGGGUGUGUCAGAGCAGAGGCUUUCACCAGCGUAAGAGGCUCAGAAAACCUUGAGGAGUAUAUAUAUAUAACUUCCAGUAACACCAGAGUCCUCAUUUUUUCCUUAUCUCACUGUCCAUUUCUUCUAAUUAUCCUCUGUUACCUCCUUUGCUCAGCUCCUAAAUGGUAGUACUCCUUCUCAGGCUGCUUUUCUCUAUUGUCUACAUUCCCUCCCUAAAUGGUCACAUCUAGGGUUUCACAUGUCAUUUUAAUACCAGAGACCCUCUUCUGUGCUCCAGACUCUUAAAUCCUUUGACAUUUUCCAUUUCCAUGCUCCAACACUCUCCCAGGAAAAACACAAAUACAGACAAACAAGCAAGCAAACAAACAAAACACACCUCCCUGACCUGCUCCAAAUCCACUAUUAUCUGUAAACAGCAACUCACCCACUGAUGAUUCAAAUCAAAAGGAGUCAGCCAUUAUUCCUCUCUUGCCUUUACCUCCUAUAGGAAAUCAAUCAGUGUACCCUUAUGACUUCAUAUACAAUACUCUCUAUCUUCAAUACUACUCCUCUAGUCCUAGCUGCCAACAACUCUCACCUGGACGACUGCCACAGCUUCCUAAACAAUUCCUUACUUUCUUUUUCACAUACAUCUUUUUUUUCUAUUCAAUUGUGACCUUUGAGAGGGCAGUUUCAGGGGCAGUGGGACAAAAUCCAGAUCAUAAGGAGUUUAGAAGGGAGUAAUGAAGAUUUCAUAUUUGUUCAAUCCAUUCAUUCCCUGAUUAAUUUAUUUGAGAGAAACCUAGGCUUUUUUUUUUUUUUUAGAAGGACGUCAAGCUACUAACAGAAAGGGAGGAAAAAAAAUGAACAUACAAGAGGAUCAUGUAUGGAACUAAAAUUCUGAGAAGAGAGAUAGUAUAUGGUUAGGGAGGUAGGAUCUGGAGCUAGACGAAUUUUGCUCUGAUAAUAGCAAUACAAUAUUGGGAAAAAUAUUAAACUUGCAGCGCCUCAAUUUUCCUACAAUAAAAUGAAGAUGGUGAAUGGUGGUUGUGGGGUGUAAAUAAGCUACAUGCAUAAAGGGCUUAAAGCAGAGCCUGGCGCAAAGGAUGUGCCCGCUAAAUUUCUGAAAGUUAAAAAAAAAAAAUUAAUUAGUGAAUAUCCAAAAAUGUCUUGAGAUGAAAAGACAGCAUAGUAAAAGUCAUGGCCAUCUGUAUUGCCUAAGAUGGAGGUCUCACUUUCCCUUUAUUGAAACACACUUCAUACAACUAAUAAAACAAAAACAACCAAACUGUCCUUCAGAAUUCCUUUGUAAUCAGAGUUAGCCUUCCACAGAGUAGAGGCUGAAAUUCCACAGAGAAGAAGACAAAAGCAUCCAUCAUCCUAAACUGUUACCAUGCUGGUUGCUGACAGAGAAAUCUGUCUAGGGACAAUGAUCUCAAGCAGAUGUUGACAAAGAUAACAUUUUAAAGGAAAUUUUAAAAUCAAAAAUAUGCUUUCAGAAUUCUCUUUUACCCCUACAUCAUGUUCUCAAUAUUUGCUCUCUAGUCUUCUGUAAUAGGACUAUCAUGUCUUUGCCCAUAAUACACAGAAAUAACCCUAGAUUGACCUGGAAGGCCGGGGCCUAGUAAGUGAUAAAUCUGUUAGCCCCAAUUUGGAGAGCAAAGUAUUUUCUAGAGGUCACAGCACUAGCCAUUCAGAGGGGCCUUACAAAUGCUUUCAGAGGUGCCCCCUAGUAAAAUCAUGACCAGUGCUUUGAUCUCAGGGUUUCUUUCUUUUUGUAACAUGUCCGAAUACCUGGGAUUAAGAGGCAGGCAGAAGUCAGAGUGAAAUUAAACAAACAGUGGAGAGUGACCAGCCAGGGUGGCUUCUAGUACAGAGGCCAUGUGUUUGCCUUCCUACUUGCAGAUCAAGGUGAAAAGUGCACCCUGAGCUCCGGCCAAAUAUGGUAUAUAAACACACAUGAAAGAAGGAUUAGCUCUCUUCCCUAAGACUAAUGGGGACCCCUGAAAUCAAUAGCUGAUUUGUGACAACAAGACUAAGUCAACAUUGGACCAAAAGAUACUGGCUGUAUCCAACUUACCCUUAAUCUCAGGUAAACGUGUAGUAAAUUCAACAUUAUUCAUUUCCUGUGCUGCAAUUCUCCCUGACUCGGAAGAAGUGUUGAUGUAGAAGGCACACACAAAAGCCACCACUUGUUCCUUUUAAUCAGAUCCCUUUCUUCUCCAAUUCACAACAGAUUGCUGUUUGCACACUUUUUUGGUCCUAAUUCUAGUUCAGCCAGCAAGAACUCUUCCUGGAGAGAGAAAGCAGCCAAUGACAUUGUGACUCCUGUGCCCUGCACUCCUAAUGCAAACAGAGAACCAUCAAGGGCAGAGUCCUCUGUAAGGGAAAGACUGCUAAUGCUGAACCUAUAACAUGGAUGAUUCCCUUUCUCUGUAACCAGGAGACACGUGAGGCAAAGUUUAUGGGUAUUAGGAAUGAUGCUAUCACAGAAUUUCUCAAAGAUUUUAAAGAUUUUAAAGUGCUUCACAAAUUCAAAGGCUUUUGGGAGCUGGGGGUGGGAAGGCACUAAGUCCCAUGGCCCAUGGUCUCCACUCCUGAAUUCAAAGAUGUAAGAGUUCCAGACCAAUCUCUCCAAUAUUCAUCUAUUCAGAAUAUUUUGGUUUACUGGUCAACUUUCACACAGAGAUUUUUCCAAAAACAACCUGUGGAAAAAUUUGAGUUGAACUCCCAGGCAUGUGCACUAUCAUCAUCUACAUUUUGCAGAUGAGAAAACUGCCUGAGACCAGAGGAUGAAUAAAAAGUGACUCCAGCAAGCACACCUAGGGAGUCUGACUCCAGAGUGGGUAUGCUUAGACACUGAGUUCUGCUGCCACGUGACUUGAGCAUGCACUUUAGCCUCCCUGAAUCUUGGCUCUCUCAUCAAUAAAAGGCAUAGUUUAAUACACAUCUGAUAGAGUUGUGAUGAGCAGUCAAUAGCAAACGCAUGUCAGAGACUUAGUAAUGGCCUGGAACAUAGAGAUCAAUAAAUGGCCAAUUCUUCUCUACCAUUUUCUUUGAUAAAGGAACUGGAAAUAUAUACAGCACUGAUUAUCUGGGCACUGCUCAUUGCCUCAUGUAUUUUUCCAUCUAAAUGUUUCUCCAAAAUAAGUUUUCUUUUAAAUUUAUAUUUUUGCUGACAUGCUAUUAUCUUAGGUUUGGGCUCUCCUUUGGAAACAAAUAUCCAGUGCAUCAGCAUCAGGAAGGGGCUCAUUUUUCCUUUCUUUAAUGGAUUCACCUUUUUUACUUAGCUGAAAAUCUAACUCUUAUUAGAGUUCUGGUGAAUAAUAAAGAAUAAUAAAGAGGCUACCUGGGAUGGCUACUUCCUGGAUUUGCACCACAGACACAGUGAUUAGUGGAGGAAACACUGAAAGUGUUCAGUGAGAAUGAAAAGAGUUCAGAGUUGGAGGUUGUGAAGUCUAAAUCUCCCCCUUGUCUUAGGUUUGGGCAAAACAUGCUAAAAGAGGAAUAAACUUGCCCAAGAUCAACAGUAUGCCAGUGGAAAGCCUCUUAUAUGUUCUGAUGUCUGGGUAUAAGGGAAAUCUCCCUUCAUUCUCAUAACCAAAAAUAGAAAAAAAUAUUUAUCUAUGGAGUGCUUGUAAUUUUCAGGCAAUUGACUAGGUACUAUGCAUUCAUUAGGGUGCACAAAUUUUGGCCUGAUGCUGAAUGGCUAAUUAUUAAAGUCAAUAUUUGGCUGGUAGCCGAGGCAGAGAUGGAGGACUACUAUCAUAGACUUCAGCUUUGAGACACAAGAAUAAAUCUGAAGUUUUAUCCAAAAGUAAAUAUUAUUGCAAUUUUAACUUCAACAUUUUAUACUCAAAUUUGAAAAGAUUGAUAUAGUGUAGGAAAAGCAUUUCUUAGCAUUAUCAGUUGCUGAUUACUCUGGCAUUAACCAUACUGUACAAUUACAACAAUAAAGAGAUGUACAUUCUUUGCCAAGGUCAUCAGAGGAGCAAGGCAGUUUGGGGUCUGCUUUGCUCCCAUAUUUUUGAGCCAUGUUACUGAGUUUCCCUUCCCCUUAAAUUGUAACUGAUUGAAGUAAAUAUUGAUCUUCUCUUCAUCCUCCCUGAAGAUACAAUCACUGAAGGCAUCUCAUAAGACAAAAGCUUUGGACUUUCUUGAAGAAGAUGAAGAAUACUUGAGGAAUAUUUUCAGAAACAGGGCUGAUAUUGAUGGCCUAACCCAUCACCACAUACUCUUAAAAAUAUCCUUUAAUCUUUCCAAAAACCCUUUGUACAGGUAUCAUAUCUCUGUUCUACCAUGAAGAAAUUAAGGUUUAGAAAAGUCAAAUGACUUCUUUAAGUUAGUAAUUAAGGAUUUUGAGCCAAGCAAUCUUAGGGCUAUGUACAGUGCUACACAAUGCCUUAAAAGACCAAACAGCUCUCUAUCGCACGUGUGCCAUGUGUCUGGACUGAAGUAUACAUAAUUCAUUUAUUCUUACACACACAAAAAAUUGAAGUAGCAGUUCUCAUGCCUACUUUACAAAUGGCCUGGUGCCUAACCUAAUUACUUAUUGUCAAAACCAGGAUUUGAACACAACUCUCUAAUUCUUAAAUAAACACUUCUAGCCACAGCACUGCCCUACUUCUAGCCAUUUUUUUCCACUCUCUGAAGAUUCUUUCAAAAUUAUUCAGUGACUAUUACUGAGCUCAGACCAUAUGCCAGGCACUGAUAAGGCCUAACAUUCCCAAAAGAAAGCUUAUUCCACAUGGAGAGUGAGAUUUUGCACUGGUCACUAGGGAGAAAGAAUACAUAGUAACACAGCACACUUUUAGCAAAGUACAGAAAACGGGAGAUCUGAGUGCAGCAUAAUAAAGCAAAAGAAAAGCUGAGGCAUGGAACCAACCGCUCUGUUCCUCCCCAUUUUGCCCAGGGCUUCCCCAAUGGUAGUAACUUGCAGCAAGCCAACCUCUUUUCUUUGUGGCCCCUCCCCAGGCUCUUCCCCUGGGAGGGGACAGGAAGCACCAAUACAUCCCAACAUUGCUGCUGGAAACAAGGUAGAGCUAAUCCCUUACCUGGGAUGUUUGCUUUUACUGAAACAUUUUCUCCCACUUCCAGUUGGCCCACUUUCCAUUAUGUGAAUCAAUUCGAC
Molecule: long non-coding RNA, 7905 nt
Filed under: Sus scrofa (pig)
Lineage: Eukaryota; Metazoa; Chordata; Mammalia; Artiodactyla; Suidae
Description: lncRNA (ENSSSCG00000054063.1, ENSSSCG00090017310.1, ENSSSCG00130002535.1, ENSSSCG00175000454.1)
Source: RNAcentral